Molecule: ribosomal RNA, 2172 nt
Filed under: Enterococcus faecium
Lineage: Bacteria; Bacillati; Bacillota; Bacilli; Lactobacillales; Enterococcaceae
Description: bacterial LSU rRNA
Rfam family: Bacterial large subunit ribosomal RNA
Source: RNAcentral
GUUGAUAAGGUUAAGUGAAUAAGGGCGCACGGUGGAUGCCUUGGCACUAGGAGCCGAUGAAGGACGGGACUAACACCGAUAUGCUUUGGGGAGCUGUACGUAAGCUAUGAUCCAGAGAUUUCCGAAUGGGGGAACCCAACAUCUUUAAUAGGAUGUUACGAUUGUGUGAAUACAUAGCACAUUCGAGGUAGACGCAGAGAACUGAAACAUCUAAGUACCUGCAGGAAGAGAAAGAAAAUUCGAUUCCCUGAGUAGCGGCGAGCGAAACGGGAAAAGCCCAAACCAGCAAGCUUGCUUGUUGGGGUUGUAGGACUCCAAUAUGGUAGUUCUUUCAGAUAGUCGAAUGACUUGGAAAAGUCAGUCAAAGAGGGUAAAAACCCCGUAGACGAAAUGUGGAAGACACCUAGGAGGAUCCUGAGUACGGCGGAACACGAGAAAUUCCGUCGGAAUCCGGGAGGACCAUCUCCCAAGGCUAAAUACUCCCUAGUGACCGAUAGUGAACCAGUACCGUGAGGGAAAGGUGAAAAGCACCCCGGAAGGGGAGUGAAAUAGAACCUGAAACCGUGUGCCUACAACAAGUCAAAGCCCGUUAAUGGGUGAUGGCGUGCCUUUUGUAGAAUGAACCGGCGAGUUACGAUUGCAUGCGAGGUUAAGUUGAAGAGACGGAGCCGCAGCGAAAGCGAGUCUGAAUAGGGCGUUUGAGUAUGUAGUCGUAGACCCGAAACCAUGUGAUCUACCCAUGUCCAGGUUGAAGGUGCGGUAAAACGCACUGGAGGACCGAACCCACGUACGUUGAAAAGUGCGGGGAUGAGGUGUGGGUAGCGGAGAAAUUCCAAACGAACUUGGAGAUAGCUGGUUCUCUCCGAAAUAGCUUUAGGGCUAGCCUCGGAAUUGAGAAUGAUGGAGGUAGAGCACUGUUUGGACUAGGGGCCCAUCUCGGGUUACCGAAUUCAGAUAAACUCCGAAUGCCAUUCAUUCAUAUCCGGGAGUCAGACUGUGAGUGAUAAGAUCCAUAGUCGAAAGGGAAACAGCCCAGACCACCAGCUAAGGUCCCAAAAUAUAUGUUAAGUGGAAAAGGAUGUGGGGUUGCACAGACAACUAGGAUGUUGGCUUAGAAGCAGCCACCAUUUAAAGAGUGCGUAAUAGCUCACUAGUCGAGUGACCCUGCGCCGAAAAUGUACCGGGGCUAAACAUAUUACCGAAGCUGUGGAGUACACCUUUAGGUGUAUUGGUAGGAGAGCGUUCUAAGGGCGUUGAAGGCAGAUCGUGAGGACUGCUGGAGCGCUUAGAAGUGAGAAUGCCGGUAUGAGUAGCGAAAGACAGGUGAGAAUCCUGUCCACCGAAUGACUAAGGUUUCCUGGGGAAGGCUCGUCCGCCCAGGGUUAGUCGGGACCUAAGCCGAGGCCGACAGGCGUAGGCGAUGGAUAACAGGUUGAUAUUCCUGUACCCGUUGUUUUUGUUUGAGCAAUGGAGGGACGCAGGAGGCUAAGGAAUGCAGACGAUCGGAAAUGUCUGUCCAAGCAGUAAGUCUGAAGAGGAGUCAAAUGCUUCUUUUCUUAAGGACAAGCUGUGAUGGGGAGGGAAAUAAUAGUACCGAAGUUCCUGAUGUCACACUGCCGAGAAAAGCUUCUAGUGAGAAAACAGCGGCCCGUACCGCAAACCGACACAGGUAGUCGAGGAGAGAAUCCUAAGGUGAGCGAGAGAACUCUCGUUAAGGAACUCGGCAAAAUGACCCCGUAACUUCGGGAGAAGGGGUGCUGAUCAUACGAUCAGCCGCAGUGAAUAGGCCCAAGCGACUGUUUAUCAAAAACACAGGCCUCUGCAAAAUCGUAAGAUGAAGUAUAGGGGCUGACGCCUGCCCGGUGCUGGAAGGUUAAGAGGAGUGCUUAGCGCAAGCGAAGGUACGAAUUGAAGCCCCAGUAAACGGCGGCCGUAACUAUAACGGUCCUAAGGUAGCGAAAUUCCUUGUCGGGUAAGUUCCGACCCGCACGAAAGGCGUAACGAUUUGGGCACUGUCUCAACGAGAGACUCGGUGAAAUUUUAGUACCUGUGAAGAUGCAGGUUACCCGCGACAGGACGGAAAGACCCCAUGGAGCUUUACUGUAGUUUGAUAUUGAGUGUCUGUACCGCAUGUACAGGAUAGGUAGGAGCCGUAGAAAUCGGAACGCUAGU